GCGGGUGUAGCUCAACGGUAGAGCACUUGCCUUCCAAGCAAGAUGUUGGGAGUUCGAAUCUCCUCGCCCGCU
RNAcentral lists this transfer RNA (72 nucleotides) under Planctomycetia bacterium. Its description in RNAcentral is "tRNA-Gly". It matches the Rfam family "tRNA". From Rfam's summary of the family: Transfer RNA (tRNA) molecules are approximately 80 nucleotides in length. Their secondary structure includes four short double-helical elements and three loops (D, anti-codon, and T loops). Lineage: Bacteria; Pseudomonadati; Planctomycetota; Planctomycetia. The record is from RNAcentral.